GAUGAACGCUGGCGGCGUGCCUAAUACAUGCAAGUCGAGCGAACAGACGAUGAGCUUGCUCCUCUUACUUUAUCGGCGGACGUGUGAUUAACACGUGGAUAACCUACCUAUAAUACUGGUAUAACUUCGGGAAACCGGAUCUAAUACCGGAUAAUAUAUUGAACCGCAUGGUUCAUUAGUUAAAUACGGUUUUUCUGUCUCUUAUAGAUGGUUCCUCGCCGCAUUAGCUAGUUGGUAAGGUAACGGCUUACAAAGGCAACGAUGCGUAGCCGACCUGAGAGGGUGAUAGGCAACAAUGGAAGUGAGACACGGUCCAGAAUACUACGGGAGGCAGCAGUAGGGAAUAUGCCGCAAUGGGCGAAAGCAUGACGGAGCAACGCCGAGUGAGUGAUGAAGGUAUUAGGAUCGUAAAACUCUGUUAUGAGGGAAGAAAAAAAGUGUAAGUAAAUAUGCACGUAUUGACGGUAACUAAUCAGAAAGCAACGGCUAACUACGUG
This 497-nucleotide ribosomal RNA is filed under the name uncultured bacterium. RNAcentral describes it as "partial 16S ribosomal RNA". It matches the Rfam family "Bacterial small subunit ribosomal RNA", at positions 28 to 507 of the family's 1533-position model. The record is from RNAcentral.